CUUGGUCAUUUAGAGGAAGUAAAAGUCGUAACAAGGUUUCCGUAGGUGAACCUGCGGAAGGAUCAUUCACAAACGAGUGUUUUAUGGCACUCUUUAAAAAUCCAUAUCCACCUUGUGUGCAAUGUUUGUUGGGAAAGUCUUUUCUUUCCCUUCAUAAAUAUCAACCUAUAUCUUUAACAACAUUCGUCUGAUAACAUAUUAUGAAUAUACUUAAUUCAAAAUAUAACUUUCAACAACGGAUCUCUUGGCUCUCGCAUCGAUGAAGAACGCAGCGAAAUGCGAUACGUAAUGUGAAUUGCAGAAUUCAGUGAAUCAUCGAAUCUUUGAACGCAUAUUGCGCUCUUUGGUAUUCCGAAGAGCAUGCUUGUUUGAGUAUCAGUAAACACCUCAACCUCUCUUUUUUGAUAAAAAAAAGGGAGGGUGGACUUGAGCUAUCCCAACGACCUUCACCGGUAGGCGGGCGGCUUGAAAUGCAGGUGCAGCUGGACUUUUAUCUGAGCUAAAAGCAUAUCUAUUUAGUCCUCGUCAAACAGGAUUAUUACUUUUGCUGCAGCUAACAUAAAGGAUAAUUGUCCUCUUUGCUGACUGAUGCAGGAUUUUACGACACUUUAUGUGUUGUUCAACUCGAUCUCAAAUCAAGUAAGACUACCCGCUGAACUUAAGCAUAUCAAUAAGCGGAGGAAAAGAAACUAACAAGGAUUCCCCUAGUAACGGCGAGUGAAGCGGGAUGAGCUCAAAUUUGAAAUCUGGCUGGGUUACUAGUCCGAGUUGUAAUUUAAAGAAGCGUUUUCGGUGGCAGCCUGGGUAUAAAUCCUUUGGAAUAGGGUAUCAUAGAGGGUGAGAAUCCCGUCUUUGACCUAGUGCAUGCUACUAUGCGAUACGUUUUCAAAGAGUCGAGUUGUUUGGGAAU
This 910-nucleotide small RNA is filed under the name uncultured Mortierella. RNAcentral's name for it is "eukaryotic LSU rRNA". The stretch from base 626 to 910 matches the Rfam family "Eukaryotic large subunit ribosomal RNA", at positions 1 to 281 of the family's 3401-position model. The record is from RNAcentral. Lineage: Eukaryota; Fungi; Mortierellomycota; Mortierellomycetes; Mortierellales; Mortierellaceae.